GAUGAACGCUGGCGGCGUGCCUAAUACAUGCAAGUCGAGCGAACAGACGAGGAGCUUGCUCCUCUGACGUUAGCGGCGGACGGGUGAGUAACACGUGGAUAACCUACCUAUAAGACUGGGAUAACUUCGGGAAACCGGAGCUAAUACCGGAUAAUAUAUUGAACCGCAUGGUUCAAUAGUGAAAGACGGUUUUGCUGUCACUUAUAGAUGGAUCCGCGCCGCAUUAGCUAGUUGGUAAGGUAACGGCUUACCAAGGCAACGAUGCGUAGCCGACCUGAGAGGGUGAUCGGCCACACUGGAACUGAGACACGGUCCAGACUCCUACGGGAGGCAGCAGUAGGGAAUCUUCCGCAAUGGGCGAAAGCUUGACGGAGCAACGUCGCGUGAGUGACGAAGGUCUUCGGAUCGUAAAACUCUGUUAUUAGGGAAGAACAAAUGUGUAAGUAACUAUGCACGUCUUGACGGUACCUAAUCAGAAAGCCACGGCUAACUACGUG
This 497-nucleotide ribosomal RNA is filed under the name uncultured bacterium. Its description in RNAcentral is "partial 16S ribosomal RNA". It matches the Rfam family "Bacterial small subunit ribosomal RNA", at positions 28 to 507 of the family's 1533-position model. The record is from RNAcentral.